Molecule: small RNA, 1496 nt
Filed under: Pan troglodytes (chimpanzee)
Lineage: Eukaryota; Metazoa; Chordata; Mammalia; Primates; Hominidae
Description: retained intron
Source: RNAcentral
CACAGACCCAAAGUGGGACAUUGAGCAAGGCACAGGCUGGUUCCCUUCCUUUCCUCUGUCCUCAUUCUGUGAGUGCCACCAUCACCAGGUACUGUGGCCUGCAGAAAUAAACGAGGCACCAACCCUGCCCUCAGGGACCCCGUGUCUUCUUAGGGACAGAGGACUCAGAAACAUCUGUGUCCCCGCAUGUUAAGUGCAUGCACACAGUGCUGAGGAUUUGCAGAGAAGGGCCAUGGCUCCCUGAGGAGACCAAGAAAGGCACAUAGAAGUGACUUCUCAGCUGGCCCUUGCAGGAUCCCUGGGUGCCUGUACCUCUCCAGUCCAGCUGAGCAAGGAGGCUCAGGAAUUAAUGAGGAUGGGGCUUGUGUAGCACGAUGGUUCUAGGCCAUCCCUUUUCCAUGGCUCAAGUCCAUUGAAGGCAGCCUCCAAAAUCAGGUUGCCUGAUCCUCCUAGUGCCACAAUCCCAGUCCUAGCUAGAACUUGCCAUGGUUCUUCUCCCUAAAAGUUCCCAGGGGACAGGAGACAGGUGUUGCUUUUCUAAUGGAGCAGGACCUCGCAUGGACGGGGCCCUCCAAGCCUGCUAACACCCUGUUCGCACUGACUCAGCCCUGGAAGAGAGGCCGGCAGUGAUGACCUCGCCCCUGUACCUGGAGAUCAUCAUCUAUUGCACAGGGGCCUUCCUCAUCUCCUGCAUGGUGGGGUCGGUCAUCGUCUACAAGAUGAAGAGUGGUACCAAGAAGAGUGACUUCCACAGCCAGAUGGCUGUGCACAAGCUGGCCAAGAGCAUCCCUCUGCGCAGACAGGUGUCUGCUGACUCCAGUGCAUCCAUGAACUCUGGGGUUCUUCUGGUUCGGCCAUCACGGCUCUCCUCCAGUGGGACUCCCAUGCUAGCAGGGGUCUCUGAGUAUGAGCUUCCCGAAGACCCUCGCUGGGAGCUGCCUCGGGACAGACUGGUCUUAGGCAAACCCCUGGGAGAGGGCUGCUUUGGGCAGGUGGUGUUGGCAGAGGCUAUCGGGCUGGACAAGGACAAACCCAACCGUGUGACCAAAGUGGCUGUGAAGAUGUUGAAGUCGGACGCAACAGAGAAAGACUUGUCAGACCUGAUCUCAGAAAUGGAGAUGAUGAAGAUGAUCGGGAAGCAUAAGAAUAUCAUCAACCUGCUGGGGGCCUGCACGCAGGAUGGUCCCUUGUAUGUCAUCGUGGAGUAUGCCUCCAAGGGCAACCUGCGGGAGUACCUGCAGGCCCGGAGGCCCCCAGGGCUGGAAUACUGCUACAACCCCAGCCACAACCCAGAGGAGCAGCUCUCCUCCAAGGACCUGGUGUCCUGCGCCUACCAGGUGGCCCGAGGCAUGGAGUAUCUGGCCUCCAAGAAGUGCAUACACCGAGACCUGGCAGCCAGGAAUGUCCUGGUGACAGAGGACAAUGUGAUGAAGAUAGCAGACUUUGGCCUCGCACGGGACAUUCACCACAUCGACUACUAUAAAAAGACAACCAAC